Long non-coding RNA from Struthio camelus australis, 1934 nucleotides. NCBI's taxonomy places the organism in Eukaryota, Metazoa, Chordata, Aves, Struthioniformes, Struthionidae. The record is from Ensembl.
GUGGGCAGGGACUCAUCCAGCUGUACCCUCCAGCGAGGGAGCACGGAGCAAUUUUCGGGGCACCUCUACCACCGGUCCUGGUUUCUGGGAGCUGCAGUCGGAAAAGUGAUAGUGCUCCUAGAGAUGCAGCGGGAAGAAGUGACAUGACAGCCAGGGAUCUGAUCACAGACGCCCAGAAAACAAGCGAGCAGAAGAGGCAGGCAAGUGGCCAGCGUGCAUCACUCAUCCUUGGGCACCAGCCAGGUCCCCCCCUUGCAGAGCUGAGCAGAUGUCUGAGCUCUAGGCAUGGGCUCUGCGCUUUGGCAAACGUUUGCAAUCGAGGGGGUUGCCUUGGAGAACUGAAAGAUGUCUUUGAUCCAUCAGCUUUUAGGUAUGCAUGGAUCUCUGAUCUGCAGUCCAGCCUUUGGAUGCAGAGCUGACUGAUAUAGGGACAGAGAGCCAGGGCUUGGCUGGUGUCCCAGGCCAGGGGUCAGUUCUUGAGAGUGGCUAAAUCCCUCCCGGAUCCAGAAAUGGACAGUCAGACACGGAUGGUGGCUUUCAUCCCAGAGUGAGCCUACGGACACCUAUAAGUGAUAAUGAAUGGGCUUCACACAUGGCAAAAUUAAUUUAGAGCCUCUGACACAAGCCCCUUGAGCUCCUGCUGACGCCCUGCAGCUGGAGGCUCAGCUCUGUGCGUUUUCCGUGACGGAGGAGCAGGACGGCUGUGAACAGUUUCUCUCCCUUCACUAACACCGCUGUGAUUGCCAUCAGGUCCUGGAGGGGUCUCACCUGGCUGGGUACAAGAUCAUCAAGGACUCCUGUUAACCAUGAGUUGCCUUCCACCCAAAGGCAUAGAGGAUGGCGCCAAUUCGACAUGGCUCCCGCUGCCCCAGGAACCCAGCUUUUGAGACACCACAAUGGGACCAGUGACAGUCUUCACUGCAGUGACCAGAAUCAGCCUGGCCGCGGGACGUGCUCGUCUCAUCCCUGCUGGCUCCCGCCGGCGCGCUGGGCUCCGCUGACCCACACGGAAGCUGAUCGCCGGUCUCGGAGGUGUGAGACCUCAUCCUUCCCUGGGAUUUCCGCAGACGCGUGGCCUGCCGCAGAGACGUUUCCCCGAGACCCUCGGUGGGCGGGAGCCGGGACGGCGGGGGGACCGUCGCCUGCUGCUCUGUGCCCGACCCUGCGCCGGGCGGGUGCUGUCACGCCAAAUGCCGACGCUGCCGCUUGUUAGCUGGGUUAAAGAGGCAGCUGAAUGCGUUAGUGCUUUGUCUGCCUCCAUCUCUCAGUAAUUUCCUUUCCCUGUCUCCUGCUGCUUUAUGUGUUAAUGCUUGUUACGUUCCCUGAGCAUCCCAGAAAUGCCUUAACCCAUCUCUUUCACAGAAAUGUAAUUAGGACAAAUGCUUUCUGCUUUUAUGUCUGCCAAAGGACUUGCUGAUUAUUAUGAUUCCUUAUCAGGUGUAUCCCAGCGGUCCCAGCUAAGGCUCCGGUUCCCUGGUGCCGGGCAGGGAAGAGAUGCUUGGUUAGGAGGCAGGCCCUGCCCAGAGGACAAAUGCUCGUGCUAGAAAAAGGCAGCGAUAGGGCAGACGGGCAAAGAGGCAUCGGANNNNNNNNNNNNNNNNNNNNNNNNAGGGGAAAAGAGGGAGCCCAGGGAACGUAACCAGCCGAACGGUACAGAGAUCCCUGUCUCGCUUUACUCACGCUGUGACGUGGCUAAAGACACCUACCAAAUCCUGUUAGGUUCCCUGCUUGAAAGUGAAAUUACAAAAUGAAUCACUUGAGCUCAUCCUCUUAUCUCUCGUUCAUAGGUGCGGGCGUGCAUGCAUCCAUACAUGCUUUCAAAGGAAGAAUAAUUAUCGUGGAGAUAAAGCUUUCAUUAUUUUUAAUAGCAUCAGGUCCACCCGUUGAGUUAUUACAGUAAUAAAAACUAAUUAGAUCCCUGGUGAUAUGUUCCC